Non-coding RNA from Theobroma umbraticum, 2306 nucleotides. NCBI's taxonomy places the organism in Eukaryota, Viridiplantae, Streptophyta, Magnoliopsida, Malvales, Malvaceae. The record is from RefSeq and is a predicted model, not a curated record.
UGAUGAAGUGAUGGUGCAACGUUUUGGAACUUUAACAAGUGAAUGAUAGUGGCUUCAUUACCAUCUUUGUAACAAUGGUGAUAGAUUCAGGAUCAUGAUGUCAACAAAUUAUAUAUAAAAUCACUAGUCAUGAUCAUGAUCAUGAUCUGGAACUCCAAAAUUGUCUCAAAACAAUCAAUAAAGUUACAGCUGUUUAAAAUUUUAGUCAUCCAUGAAAUCAAUACAUCUGCUUGAAUUUGUCUGUCUCUAACAGCAAAAUUUGGCAAUUAAUAUAUUUUUAAUCAUUUUGUGUAAGGUUUUGAUCCUGUUGAUCUAAGGCUGCAGACUUUUCUGUGCUGUCAGAAGAACUUUAUAUCAGCAGUCAACGAACUCACGGAAUUCUCGAAACCCAGGCCAAGGAAAUCACAUCACCAGGAAACGUGAAACACAUGUUGAAAAAGUCAAGCCAAAUAUCCAACUAUUCUGUCAGGGAAGUGCCCCUGGAGCCUGCAAUUACAAAAAAAACCCUGUGUGUUCUUCUGCUAGAAAUGGUGCUGGAAAUGCAAAUAUGUUCCUCCAGCGACUUAUGGCCACAAGGAUGUUUUGCGCCUGUUAGAAUAACAUGAAAACGAAGAGGAGGGCUGUCCCUAAACGCCCGUGAAAAGAUUGCUAAGCUUCCAUUGAUUGGCAAUUUGGCAUUUUGCAGCUACAACCAAAUCCUACUUAUCUUGUCUGUGUCUAAAGAACUGCUAAUAAUAUGUAUUUUUCUUAAUCUGUUCACUUUUCUUUUCCAAGGAUAAAUCACCAAAUGAGGGUUAUAUUCCCCCAUUGAUUCAUUUGCUUUUGUUGUUUUGCUAUUUUCCUUGUUUUUGUCCUUCUUCCUCUUGUCUUUUAGAAUUAUUACCUUGGCCAUACCAUGACAAACGGAUCAAUCUGUUAAGAGAUAAACAUGAUAAUUUCUCACCAGAAAUUCUGGAAACAAUUAGGGCAGCAAAAACCCAUUGUCUAAUUAUCUUUUAGCCUCAAACUGAGAUGCCCUGGUACUUCUCGAAGGUCCCCAUCUUGCAAUCAAACCUGAGCCUAAAACUCCCUGGUAAGUAAGAGGGAGCAAUCACAAGUGAAUUGGAGGAACAUAAAACAUAUUUUAGACAAAUCAUCAAACUAUACUAUUUUUUAUGAGAAAUUUACAAAUUUUUUUUGGAAUUAAUCAUUACAACUUAAUUUUCGAUUGGUAGAGCUAAAUGCUUUUGUUGUCAAAGGGGGAAAAAAAUUCAUUAUUAGAACUUCAAAGCUGCUAACUUCAUGAGCACAACUCCUUUCCAUCCUACAAUUUAAUGUAUGAAAGAGAAGUCAAUAGGUGUAAGACUUUAGAUUAAAGAUUUAAAAGAUUUCUAAUAUAAAAAAAUAUCAUAGUGAAUAUUAAAAUGUAACGGCUUUGGUUGCUUCCAUUUCCAUUCCAUUUCAUUCAUGACAGCUAAAGCAGAUUAUGCUUAACAAUAAAUUUAUAAUUAAGUCAAAUACCCAUGUGAUCCAAUUACGUAUUUUUCUUUGUGAGGAAGGAAAGGGAAAGAGCCAAAAAUAUCAGAAUGGGAGAUGAAUUUUGCAGAUAAAACCAGACACCUGCAAAGAUAGCAAUAAAUACAUUAAAUAAAUGAACCCAACAAUGAAAGCAACACCACACCAUAGUGCCAACAAAGUUUUGAUCAUAUCCUUUCAGUGCCUUUUUUUUCCUUUUCCUCCCCUUUAUAUGUUUUCAAUCUUUAUUAUGUGGUUCUACUUAUUUUUUUCCUGAAAUGGGACCAUGGAAAUGAUAAGUUCCAAACUUUGAACAAAACCCAAUACAGCUGGCUGAACCUUAGAGAGCGCAGCCGUCCUUGAACAGACCCCACCACACACAUAAACCCAUAUCGCACCCACCCACACACAAACACGAACACAGCCGUUCCAUGAUAGAGAGAUCCUGGUCAACUUAAGCAUCUUCCAUUAACUGCUGUGGGUCUGGCUCACAUGGGAUGACCAACAAGAUUGCAUUAAAAGACAACAGUUUCCAUUCAACACACCCGUCCACUAUGUACCCAAUACAGGACAAAACACUCACAAUCAGAUUCCUGCCCACAUGAUAAUGGUAGAAAACUGAUUAGAAGUUGUGAAACAAAAGUAAAAAAGAAAUAAAAACCAGAGAGAGAAUACACCUAACUUAUUUAUGAGACAGUCACAUUCUAUGUAAAUCAGUAGCAGGAUCAUGGGACUUCCCACGUUUUUAUUGAAGCCCGUAUGAGACCUGCUAAACUUGCUAAGCUUCUACAGCUACAGACAGGGAGGAAAAA